UCCCCGUUCACCGGGGCAGUCCCCUCAGAGUGCCCAGCCUAACCUGCUGGCAACAGAGGGCAAGGGUUGCGCUCGUUGCGGGACUUAACCCAACAUCUCACGACACGAGCUGACGACAGCCAUGCAGCACCUGUGCAUCGGCCCCGAAGGGAAGACAGCUUUCACUGCCAGUCCAAUGCAUGUCAAACCCAGGUAAGGUUCUUCGCGUUGCGUCGAAUUAAACCACAUGCUCCACCGCUUGCGCGGGCCCCCGUCAAUUCGUUUGAGUUUUAGCCUUGCGACCGUACUCCCCAGGCGGAGUGCUUAAUGUGUUGACUUCGGCACCGCAGGGGUCGAUACCCGCGACACCCAGCACUCAUCGUUUACGGCGUGGACUAC
Molecule: unclassified non-coding RNA, 378 nt
Filed under: uncultured bacterium
Lineage: Bacteria
Description: contains 16S-23S intergenic spacer region
Source: RNAcentral